UGGUUCUGGCAUCGAUGAAGAACGCAGCGAAAUGCGAUAAGUAAUGUGAAUUGCAGAAUUCAGUGAAUCAUCGAAUCUUUGAACGCACAUUGCGCCCCCCGGCAUUCCGGGGGGCAUGCCUGUCCGAGCGUCACUCGCACGCCUCAAGCUCCGCUUGGUGUUGGGCCGGGUCGGCGCACGCCGGCGGGCCCCAAACCCAGUGGCGACCCCCGCCGGGCCCCGAGCGUAGUCAUCGCUCUCGCUCCGGGGCCGGGCGGGCGUCCGCCAGACAACGUCUUCUUCUGGUUGACCUCGGAUCAGGUAGGAAUACCCGCUGA
RNAcentral lists this unclassified non-coding RNA (317 nucleotides) under uncultured fungus. RNAcentral's name for it is "partial contains 5.8S ribosomal RNA and internal transcribed spacer 2". The stretch from base 1 to 133 matches the Rfam family "5.8S ribosomal RNA", at positions 22 to 154 of the family's 154-position model. The record is from RNAcentral. Lineage: Eukaryota; Fungi.